Molecule: ribosomal RNA, 900 nt
Filed under: Micrococcus sp. DEM31
Lineage: Bacteria; Bacillati; Actinomycetota; Actinomycetes; Micrococcales; Micrococcaceae
Description: bacterial SSU rRNA
Rfam family: Bacterial small subunit ribosomal RNA
Source: RNAcentral
AGUGNCGAACGGGUGAGUAACACGUGAGUAACCUGCCCUUGACUCUGGGAUAAGCCUCGGGCAAACUGGGUCUAAUACCGGAUAGGAGCGCCUGUCGCAUGACGGGUGCUGGAAAGAUCUUUCGGUCAUGGAUGGACUCGCGGCCUAUCAGCUUGUUGGUGAGGUAACGGCUCACCAAGGCGACGACGGGUAGCCGGCCUGAGAGGGUGACCGGCCACACUGGGACUGAGACACGGCCCAGACUCCUACGGGAGGCAGCAGUGGGGAAUAUUGCACAAUGGGCGAAAGCCUGAUGCAGCGACGCCGCGUGAGGGAUGACGGCCUUCGGGUUGUAAACCUCUUUCAGCAGGGAAGAAGCGAAAGUGACGGUACCUGCAGAAGAAGCACCGGCUAACUACGUGCCAGCAGCCGCGGUAAUACGUAGGGUGCGAGCGUUAUCCGGAAUUAUUGGGCGUAAAGAGCUCGUAGGCGGUUUGUCACGUCUGUCGUGAAAGUCCGGGGCUUAACCCCGGAUCUGCGGUGGGUACGGGCAGACUAGAGUGCAGUAGGGGAGACUGGAAUUCCUGGUGUAGCGGUGGAAUGCGCAGAUAUCAGGAGGAACACCGAUGGCGAAGGCAGGUCUCUGGGCUGUAACUGACGCUGAGGAGCGAAAGCAUGGGGAGCGAACAGGAUUAGAUACCCUGGUAGUCCAUGCCGUAAACGUUGGGCACUAGGUGUGGGGACCAUUCCACGGUUUCCGCGCCGCAGCUAACGCAUUAAGUGCCCCGCCUGGGGAGUACGGCCGCAAGGCUAAAACUCAAAGGAAUUGACGGGGGCCCGCACAAGCGGCGGAGCAUGCGGAUUAAUUCGAUGCAACGCGAAGAACCUUACCAAGGCUUGACAUGUUUUCGACCGCCGUGG